AUGAGCUGUGGGGGUGACUCAGUAAAUUACCAAGUCAAAUGAUGUAAGCCCUCACCCAACUCCCUCUUGCCCUCUCACAAUGCUACCACUGUUCUAUGUUGUUGACAUGGGUGUGCAGUGUAAGUGAAAAAAUUAAGUCCCACAAGCUGAGAUAGUCUAUUCCUAUCAAUAAUCAACCAAUUUCAGAAAGUUCAUACAAUGAUGAUAAUUUGGUAGUCCAGUCAGAAUUGGUUUGAUGAAAAAUGUCUGGAUUUGCCCAAUUUUAUUUCACACUGAAAAUCUUCCAGUUUACUUGGAAUUAAAUCAAAGGUCUCAGUGAUGUUGGCCAUCAGAAGAAAGUCUUCACGUAAAUUGCAAGUCAAACAAACAAAAACGAUAUCUGCACACCAACACUUCUUAAUUUUAAAAAGUUUUGAAUAGCUCAAAUGGGCAUAUAAUUUAAACACUAUUCCUGUUAGGAAGAAACAGAUCCAAUCGUUAGCUUGACUUCAUUGUGAUGUUUCACAAUUCCUUCUGUAGGUGCUUGGCUGAGGUUCAAAGGAUAGAAGAUCACUACCAUUGGUCCUGGUUGGUGUCAAGCUUCGAGUGUUGGAGGUGCUGCAUUUACCCAAGCAAAUGUUGGGCUCAAGAGGAAAACUGCCUGCUCUCCUCUCAAACAGUGCCAAAAGAUUCUUCAUACAACCUUAAAAGGACAAAGGAGCUUUUAGUUAAAACCUCAUGAGAAGAACUCAACACAAAUCAACAAUAUUCUGAUUCAGAGCCAGCCACACACACUGCUGAGCUUCCUCACAACUGAACAGCAACUAAAUUUGAAGAUAAAAUACUGGGGUAAUCUCCAACUCAUGCCAUUUCCUACUUGUUCUGCUCUGAAACUGUCUCAAAACUAAAGGUUCAAGAGAGUGGAACAUUGCAGCACAGACAAAUCUGUGGGCAUGUACACACAGAGGGGCCAACACAGAAAUCUACAUUCCAGACAGACAACAUAUGGAGAAGUUACAAGGUUACAAAUAACCAUUCCUGAAAUGGGGCUGGUGGGGGAAGCCAACAUAACACAAUAGAUGGCACGAUCACAUGAAGGACUGGACUAAUUGUUCUGGUGACUUGGCCUGUCCAGAGAAAUAAUUCCAAGAAACCCAGUGCACGUUUGUAAGACAAUAUAAUAAAAAGUUAAAAGGAUAUAUAUGGAUAUCUACGUACCGAUUUCUUGGCCUU
Rhincodon typus (whale shark) is the source of this 1212-nucleotide long non-coding RNA. RefSeq lists it as uncharacterized. The transcript is spliced from 3 exons. The record is from RefSeq and is a predicted model, not a curated record. Lineage: Eukaryota; Metazoa; Chordata; Chondrichthyes; Orectolobiformes; Rhincodontidae.